UUGACGGGGCCCGCACAAGCGGUGGAGCAUGUGGUUUAAUUCGAAGCAACGCGAAGAACCUUACCAGGUCUUGACAUCCCGAUGCUAUUUCUAGAGAUAGAAAGUUACUUCGGUACAUCGGUGACAGGUGGUGCAUGGUUGUCGUCAGCUCGUGUCGUGAGAUGUUGGGUCAAGUCCCGCAACGAGCGCAACCCCUAUUGUUAGUUGCCAUCAUUCAGUUGGGCACUCUAGCGAGACUGCCGGUAAUAAACCGGAGGAAGGUGGGGAUGACGUCAAAUCAUCAUGCCCCUUAUGACCUGGGCUACACACGUGCUACAAUGGUUGGUACAACGAGUUGCGAGUCGGUGACGGCGAGCUAAUCUCUUAAAGCCAAUCUCAGUUCGGAUUGUAGGCUGCAACUCGCCUACAUGAAGUCGGAAUCGCUAGUAAUCGCGGAUCAGCACGCCGCGGUGAAUACGUUCCCGGGCCUU
This 470-nucleotide ribosomal RNA is filed under the name uncultured Streptococcus sp. RNAcentral's name for it is "bacterial SSU rRNA". It matches the Rfam family "Bacterial small subunit ribosomal RNA", at positions 910 to 1382 of the family's 1533-position model. The record is from RNAcentral. Lineage: Bacteria; Bacillati; Bacillota; Bacilli; Lactobacillales; Streptococcaceae.